CCAGCAGAUGGACUUUUUCUUGCCCCACUUGCAUAGCACUGUUCUUAAGUUUUGAAAAUUACUUUUUCUUGCCCCACUUGCAUGAAAACAUGUUCAUGAAAAUUACUUGAGAGCUUCUGGUCAUCAUGGUUGUUGAGGGAACCGGCUCACUGUAAUAAUGAAAGUCCUUUGCUGGUGGAUAUACACUUAUAUGCUUGUAUGUUUGUUCUAUUUUAACUUUCUCAUCUUCACCUCAGGUGUGCUGAUAAUAUGCUUCUUUGACACACGCUGCAGCGUGAUUUCUAACUCGCUAGCAAUGGUAAACAUUUACUGAUUGUGGCAUGCCAUGUAUCUGUGUUUUGUAGGUCCUAGCUCAAGUCAAGCCACACAAAAGCAGACAAGAGGUUCACCUUUCAAAGAAAGAGAAGAAGAAUAAGAAGAAAAAGAACUAACAAGGAAGAGGCUACCAAAAGCAAGUCUGCAGGAAAGGCAUAGUACCAGACUAUGAUCUCCGACAGCGAUUACACCGAGUUUGAAAACUUCUCAAAGUGGUUGGGAGUCUCCCAGUGAGAUUUUUCUGUCUUUGAGUUUUGUCUUGGUAUAAUAUCUUUAUCUAAUUGUUUUGUUUCAAGAAGAGUUACUUUACUUUUUGUGGCAGUUUUGAGACAAGAUUUGAGUUUGGUGGGUUAUGUUUUAUGACAAGAUGGAUGGAUUUUCAUUUUAGCAGAUCUGGAAUCAAAAUUUUACAAAUUGUAGUCUCUUA
Molecule: non-coding RNA, 742 nt
Organism: Camellia sinensis
Lineage: Eukaryota; Viridiplantae; Streptophyta; Magnoliopsida; Ericales; Theaceae
Source: RefSeq, a predicted model, not a curated record